CGUUCUAUGGCCGAAUCGGUAAAGGCAUGGUGAGGUUGCGGGUUCGAAUCCCGCUGGAACGA
Molecule: transfer RNA, 62 nt
Filed under: Operophtera brumata (winter moth)
Lineage: Eukaryota; Metazoa; Arthropoda; Insecta; Lepidoptera; Geometridae
Rfam family: tRNA
About the family: Transfer RNA (tRNA) molecules are approximately 80 nucleotides in length. Their secondary structure includes four short double-helical elements and three loops (D, anti-codon, and T loops).
Source: Rfam by way of RNAcentral